AGUGAACGCUGGCGGUAGGCCUAACACAUGCAAGUCGAACGGCAGCACAGUAAGAGCUUGCUCUUACGGGUGGCGAGUGGCGGACGGGUGAGGAAUACAUCGGAAUCUACUUUUUCGUGGGGGAUAACGUAGGGAAACUUACGCUAAUACCGCAUACGACCUACGGGUGAAAGCAGGGGAUCUUCGGACCUUGCGCGAUUGAAUGAGCCGAUGUCGGAUUAGCUAGUUGGCGGGGUAAAGGCCUACCAAGGCGACGAUCCGUAGCUGGUCUGAGAGGAUGAUCAGCCACACUGGAUCUGAGACACGGUCCAGACUCCUACGGGAGGCAGCAGUGGGGAAUAUUGGACAAUGGGCGCAAGCCUGAUCCAGCCAUACCGCGUGGGUGAAGAAGGCCUUCGGGUUGUAAAGCCCUUUUGUUGGGAAAGAAAAGCAGCAGGUUAAUACCCCGCUGUUCUGACGGUACCCAAAGAAUAAGCACCGGCUAACUUCGUG
Molecule: ribosomal RNA, 492 nt
Filed under: uncultured bacterium
Lineage: Bacteria
Description: partial 16S ribosomal RNA
Rfam family: Bacterial small subunit ribosomal RNA
Source: RNAcentral